GAUGUGAAAGCCCCCGGCUCAACCGGGGAGGGUCAUUGGAAACUGGGGAACUUGAGUCAUCCUCUGACAAUCCUAGAGAUAGGACGUCCCCUUCGGGGGCAGAGUGACAGGUGGUGCAUGGUUGUCGUCAGCUCGUGUCGUGAGAUGUUGGGUUAAGUCCCGCAACGAGCGCAACCCUUGAUCUUAGUUGCCAGCAUUCAGUUGGGCACUCUAAGGUGACUGCCGGUGACAAACCGGAGGAAGGUGGGGAUGACGUCAAAUCAUCAUGCCCCUUAUGACCUGGGCUACACACGUGCUACAAUGGACAGAACAAAGGGCAGCGAAACCGCGAGGUUAAGCCAAUCCCACAAAUCUGUUCUCAGUUCGGAUCGCAGUCUGCAACUCGACUGCGUGAAGCUGGAAUCGCUAGUAAUCGCGGAUCAGCAUGCCGCGGUGAAUACGUUCCCGGGCCUUGUACACACC
This 462-nucleotide ribosomal RNA is filed under the name Bacillus subtilis. RNAcentral describes it as "bacterial SSU rRNA". It matches the Rfam family "Bacterial small subunit ribosomal RNA", at positions 926 to 1391 of the family's 1533-position model. The record is from RNAcentral. Lineage: Bacteria; Bacillati; Bacillota; Bacilli; Caryophanales; Bacillaceae.